AUGCAAGUCGUACGCUUCUUUUUCCACCGGAGCUUGCUCCACCGGAAAAAGAAGAGUGGCGAACGGGUGAGUAACACGUGGGUAACCUGCCCAUCAGAAGGGGAUAACACUUGGAAACAGGUGCUAAUACCGUAUAACAAUCGAAACCGCAUGGUUUUGAUUUGAAAGGCGCUUUCGGGUGUCGCUGAUGGAUGGACCCGCGGUGCAUUAGCUAGUUGGUGAGGUAACGGCUCACCAAGGCCACGAUGCAUAGCCGACCUGAGAGGGUGAUCGGCCACAUUGGGACUGAGACACGGCCCAAACUCCUACGGGAGGCAGCAGUAGGGAAUCUUCGGCAAUGGACGAAAGUCUGACCGAGCAACGCCGCGUGAGUGAAGAAGGUUUUCGGAUCGUAAAACUCUGUUGUUAGAGAAGAACAAGGAUGAGAGUAACUGUUCAUCCCUUGACGGUAUCUAACCAGAAAGCCACGGCUAACUACGUGCCAGCAGCCGCGGUAAUACGUAGGUGGCAAGCGUUGUCCGGAUUUAUUGGGCGUAAAGCGAGCGCAGGCGGUUUCUUAAGUCUGAUGUGAAAGCCCCCGGCUCAACCGGGGAGGGUCAUUGGAAACUGGGAGACUUGAGUGCAGAAGAGGAGAGUGGAAUUCCAUGUGUAGCGGUGAAAUGCGUAGAUAUAUGGAGGAACACCAGUGGCGAAGGCGGCUCUCUGGUCUGUAACUGACGCUGAGGCUCGAAAGCGUGGGGAGCAAACAGGAUUAGAUACCCUGGUAGUCCACGCCGUAAACGAUGAGUGCUAAGUGUUGGAGGGUUUCCGCCCUUCAGUGCUGCAGCUAACGCAUUAAGCACUCCGCCUGGGGAGUACGACCGCAAGGUUGAAACUCAAAGGAAUUGACGGGGGCCCGCACAAGCGGUGGAGCAUGUGGUUUAAUUCGAAGCAACGCGAAGAACCUUACCAGGUCUUGACAUCCUUUGACCACUCUAGAGAUAGAGCUUCCCCUUCGGGGGCAAAGUGACAGGUGGUGCAUGGUUGUCGUCAGCUCGUGUCGUGAGAUGUUGGGUUAAGUCCCGCAACGAGCGCAACCCUUAUUGUUAGUUGCCAUCAUUCAGUUGGGCACUCUAGCAAGACUGCCGGUGACAAACCGGAGGAAGGUGGGGAUGACGUCAAAUCAUCAUGCCCCUUAUGACCUGGGCUACACACGUGCUACAAUGGGAAGUACAACGAGUCGCGAAGUCGCGAGGCUAAGCUAAUCUCUUAAAGCUUCUCUCAGUUCGGAUUGUAGGCUGCAACUCGCCUACAUGAAGCCGGAAUCGCUAGUAAUCGCGGAUCAGCACGCCGCGGUGAAUACGUUCCCGGGCCUUGUACACACCGCCCGUCACACCACGAGAGUUUGUAACACCCGAAGUCGGUGAGGUAACCUUUGGAGCCAGCCGCCUAAGGUGGGAUAGAUGAUUGGGGGAAGU
RNAcentral lists this ribosomal RNA (1457 nucleotides) under Enterococcus durans. RNAcentral's name for it is "bacterial SSU rRNA". It matches the Rfam family "Bacterial small subunit ribosomal RNA". The record is from RNAcentral. Lineage: Bacteria; Bacillati; Bacillota; Bacilli; Lactobacillales; Enterococcaceae.